RNAcentral lists this ribosomal RNA (974 nucleotides) under uncultured Bacteroidota bacterium. RNAcentral describes it as "bacterial SSU rRNA". It matches the Rfam family "Bacterial small subunit ribosomal RNA", at positions 61 to 1054 of the family's 1533-position model. The record is from RNAcentral. Lineage: Bacteria; Pseudomonadati; Bacteroidota.
GUCGACGGUGUCUUCGGACAUAGUGGCGCACGGGUGCGUAACACGUAUGCAACCUACCUUACAUUGGGGGAUAGCCUUUCGAAAGGGAGAUUAAUACCGCAUAAGACAGUAACUAGGCAUCUAGUAGCUGUUAAAGAUUUAUCGAUGUAAGCUGGGCAUGCGUCCAAUUAGCUAGUUGGUGAGGUAAUGGCUCACCAAGGCUAUGAUUGGUAGGGGAACUGAGAGGUCAAUCCCCCACACUGGCACUGAGAUACGGGCCAGACUCCUACGGGAGGCAGCAGUAGGGAAUAUUGGGCAAUGGACGCAAGUCUGACCCAGCCAUGCCGCGUGCAGGAUGAAGGCGUUAUGCGUUGUAAACUGCUUUUAUACAGGAAGAAACGACUCUUGCGAGAGGCAUUGACGGUACUGUAUGAAUAAGCACCGGCUAACUCCGUGCCAGCAGCCGCGGUAAUACGGAGGGUGCAAGCGUUGUCCGGAUUUAUUGGGUUUAAAGGGUGCGCAGGUGGUUUAUUAAGUCAGUGGUGAAAGACGGUCGCUCAACGAUUGCAGUGCCAUUGAAACUGGUAGACUUGAGUAAAGUAGAGGUGGGCGGAAUUGAUAGUGUAGCGGUGAAAUGCAUAGAUAUUAUCAAGAACUCCAAUUGCGAAGGCAGCUCACUUGGCUUUUACUGACACUCAUGCACGAAAGUGUGGGUAUCAAACAGGAUUAGAUACCCUGGUAGUCCACACUGUAAACGAUGAUAACUAGGUGUCGGCCGAAUCUGGUCGGUGCCACAGCGAAAGCGUUAAGUUAUCCACCUGGGGAGUACGCCGGCAACGGUGAAACUCAAAGGAAUUGACGGGGGUCCGCACAGCGGUGGAGCAUGUGGUUUAAUUCGAUGAUACGCGAGAACCUUACCUAGGCUAGAAUGGUGAAGGAAUGAUACAGAAAUGGAUCAGUCAGCAUGGACUUGAACAAGGGCUGCAUGCUUGUCU